ACAUAGCCAGUGGGUCUGAGCUGACUUUUCUUCCCAAGCCUGUGUGAUCCCCAAAACCCUUGGCUGCCCCCACUCUGCCCCCCGCCUCCCAGCCCUUCCAGCUGCAGCCUUUUCACUCAUUCCACCACCACUCAGCUCUGAGUGGCUACGCUGGCGGGCUCUCUGCUUUGCGUCGGAGACAUCACAGUGAGCAAAGGCAGAUAUGUUUUAUGUGCCCUUGAAGAAUCUCCCAGACAAACGUGUCAUUGCAGUCGGAGCCAAAUGGCCGGGGCAGGUGGCACAGAUGAAUGCCGGGCAGAGGAGCCUGCAGACUGGGGUCCCCUUAAAGGCAGAGUGAAUCUCAGAUUCAUCUUAGUCCCUUCCUGGGGUCUUGUUCAGGACCCUGCAUCCAGUAGAUGCUCAACAAAUGUCAACAUAGGAAUCCAGGUCCCAUCCUCUCCUCACUCAAGGGAUCCAAGGCUGCCUCUUCCUCUUCCGUAGUGGUGUGGCUUUGCAGAAGUCACUUAAGCUCUCUAAUCCUCCUCCUCAGAGUGCCAGACUGCAGCUGCCACAUGAAGAGAGAGAGGGUCUCCUAUGUUUCCUAGGCCUGUCUUGAACUCCCGGGCUCAAGCGAUUCUCCUGCCUCAGCCUCCCAACAUGCUGGAUCACAGGCAGUGGCCACCUCGCCUGGCCAGUUUUCCCUUUACAAAAACUGGAAUGCUGAGCCGGGCCACAUCAGUCUUGGCUGGACUCACUGCCCACCUCUGGGACCUUGGCGGUGGGGCGGGAAGGAGGACCUCAAAGGCUCAGCGAGUCCACCCCCAGCCCAGCCACCAGCGCCAGCCUCCUCCUCCGCAACACCCAGGCCCUUAUCAGGAAAGGAUUUGGGUUGGUGGGGAGGGGUGGGGGGAAGUUGGAGGCCUCAGGCUCAGCAAGGUGGGUCGGAGAGAUAGGGAAGUGGGGAGGGGGCUGCGGGCCCCUGCUGGGCGGGGGAGGGCAAUGGGAGGGAUGCCCAGAAUGGGCACGGUGGGGGACUUUGGCCAAGCUCUGUCCUCGCUGGCCUGGACCUCAACAUGUUUCCAGGACUUCUGCCUCCCAUCCUUGCCAGGCAAGUUGCCUGCACCUUUAAUUAGCAAGCAGCAGUUUCUCUCCAAUUCAUCACGGUCGCUGUUUAAUUAGCCGAGCCCAGGGCGCCCCCACCCCCAGCUCUGCCUGCCUGUCCUACCAAGGCCACCACCACCUCAGGGUGUCCCCUGUUACCACCCCCCACAAUCAUUCUGCUCCCCAGAGUGGGGGAUGGGCCCGGCACGCCCAGCUGAAACCUCAAGGAGAUUCUGGGCACCGGCGCUUGUAUUCAAGGCAUUCAGCAAACAUGAUUAGGGACCGAGGCUGUGCCAGGCUGGCUCUGGGUAGAACCCCGGCCGGACAUGCGGGGCAGGCUCUGGUCCUGUCCAGCUGCUGGAGAAUGGCUUCUCCCUUGGGAGGCGCUGGCACAUCUCUCUGGCUUGGUCCCUGAGUGCUGGGAGGAGGCUGCAGUACUCCUGUGUGUCACUCCCACCCCACAUCCGGAAAGGGACACCAUGUCUUCCUCUUCCUCUCUCUUCCAGAGCCCAGAAAGCUCCUCUGAGAAUGCUGGACCUCAGGACAGGGGCCCAUGCUCUGCACCCGGCCCUCAGCAGCCAGAUCCUAGAGGCCCAGUCCAAGCUGUGGGCCAAGGGAGCGGGGCGGGCUGAGGCCUGCUUUGUGUCGGCAGGGUCUGGGGAAUUGGGAGCACUGGCGGGAGCCCAUGGUCCGGGGCCGAACCAGCCCCCUUCUGUUUCCCUGAAGAAGGGUGAGGCUGAGGGCCCUCGGAACAGAGCCCCUGUGUCAUUCUGUGCAGGGCCGGGAUAGCCACUAGUCACUGUGGGCAGAAGCAAGAAGCAGAGGCUCAGGCUCCAUCCCAAGCCUGUGCUCCUGCUGGGCUGUGGGAGGUGUGACCCUUCCACUGUUUCGUAGACUGAGAACAUGGAGGGACUGGCAUUUGCUGUGUUACCCUGUGGUGCCAUCAGCGUGUUGUGACAGGGGCAGGAGGAGUGUGCUAGAACCCACCCACUCUGGUACUGCCCAUCUCUGUGGCCUUGGGCCAGCCACCAAACCGUACCAUGCCUUAGUUCCCCUAUGAUUCAUAGCUGCUUCAUGGGCUGAUGUGAGGAUUAAACAGCUUACUAUGUGUUGGGUCUGGUUUUGUUUGGCUUUGUUUUGUUUUUUGAGACAAGGUCUCACUCUGCUGCUCAGGCUGGAGUGCAGUGGUGCAAUCACAGCUCACAGCAGGCUCCACCUCUCAGGCUCAAGCGAUCCUCCCAUCUCAGCCUCCCUGAGUCUCGCUCUUUUGCCCAGGCUGGAUGGAGUGCAGUGGCGUGAUCUCAGCUCGCUGCAACCUCCACCUUCCGGGUUCAAGUGAUUCUCCUAUCUCAGCCUCCUGAGUAGCUGGGAUUACAGACUCCAGCAUAACCUUCUCCAGGAAGCUUUUCCAGAGCCCCCAGGCUAGGAACCUCCCCCCAACCCCUGAACUCAAGCCCCAGCAGCCCGUGCCUGCGCCAUCUCCAUCAGAGCUGCAUCUCUCUGGGUCUCUGGGUAACAAGUGCCAUUUCUUUGUUGUUUUCUGUGUCCCCCAAGGACAAAGCUCAGGCUGGAUUCAUCUCGGAAUUCCCAACACCGGGGUAGAACUGGCUCAUUUCAAUUUCAGUCAAUGUUUGUUGAGGAAAGGAGUGAAGAGUUGGACACAUGAAUGAACGCAUGAAACAGUCCGGAGUGGGGAAGCUGAAGCUCAGGCAUCAGGAUCCGGGAGAAGCAUCCAGUCCAGGCGGACGGGGUGGAAGGUUCAGAGCAGGGGCCCCAAGUCAGGAGUAGGGAGGCAGACGGCAAGACCUCCUUCCAUGAAAGGAGGCUGGGACCAGGGGACCAGGUAGUGCAACGCGGUGAGGGGGCUGUCAGGGCGACUGGCCGGAGGAGUCAGAGGCAGGAGGCACCACCAGGUUACAGACAAGGACCUUCUACAAGAGGGAAACGUGUCAUGGGCUCUGGAGCCCCUGUCCAGGUUCAAAUUGUGACCCUGUGCCAGGGACAGCUUCUUUGUGCCUCAGUUUUUCCCAUAAAAUGAGGAUAAUAAUACUUCAUUCAUGCCUUUUUUUCCCCUCAACAAACAUUUGUUGUAUGUCUGCUGUGGGCCCAGGACAGGAGGCUGAGAAGGAGCUGACCACAGUGGUCACACAGCCAAGCCCUGCUGCUGAGAUCUGACCCCAGUUCGCCUGUCACAAGUUCUAUCUGUGCCUCGUUGUCUGCCUCCUGGGGCUGUUAUGAGGGCUGAAGAAGGGGCAGGCACAGAGGAGACACUUACUAUAUGAUCAUUGUCCUCCUAGAGUAUCAUCACCAUCAGGUGGACUUCAGUGGCCAUCCCAGGCCUCCACGGAUCAACCACAAGAUCUUGGAGAAUGUCCUUACCCUCCAAGCCUCAGUUUACCUUUAGGGUGACCAACCAUCCUGGUUUGUCCAAAACUGAGGGUUUUCCUGGCACAGUCCCAGGCAAACUGGGAUGGUGAGUCACUGAUAUAGUUUGACUCUGUGUCCCCACCAAAUCUCACCUUGAAUUUUAAUAAUCCCUAGGUGUCAAGAGCAGGACCAAGUAGAGAUAAUUGAAUAAUGGUGGCAGUUUCCCCCAUGCUGUUCUCAUGAUAGUGAGUGAGUUCUCACGAGAUCUGAUGGUUUUAUAAGCAGCUUCCCCCUUUGCUCAGUAUCACUCUCCCUCCUGCCGCCCUGUGAAGAGCUGCCUUCCACCAUGAUUGUAAGUUUCCUGAGGCCUCCCCAGCCACGCAGAACUGUGAGUCAAUUAAACCUCUUUUCUUUAUAAAUU
This 3868-nucleotide long non-coding RNA is filed under the name Homo sapiens (human). RNAcentral's name for it is "non-protein coding lnc-C20orf203-1:1". Lineage: Eukaryota; Metazoa; Chordata; Mammalia; Primates; Hominidae. The record is from RNAcentral.